GAUGACCUCUAGCUACAGGCUUAACACAUGCAAGUCGAGGGGAAACGACAUCGAAAGCUUGCUUUUGAUGGGCGUCGACCGGCGCACGGGUGAGUAACGCGUAUCCAACCUGCCCACCACUUGGGGAUAACCUUGCGAAAGUAAGACUAAUACCCAAUGACGUCUCUAGAAGACAUCUGAAAGAGAUUAAAGAUUUAUCGGUGAUGGAUGGGGAUGCGUCUGAUUAGCUUGUUGGCGGGGUAACGGCCCACCAAGGCAACGAUCAGUAGGGGUUCUGAGAGGAAGGUCCCCCACAUUGGAACUGAGACACGGUCCAAACUCCUACGGGAGGCAGCAGUGAGGAAUAUUGGUCAAUGGACGAGAGUCUGAACCAGCCAAGUAGCGUGCAGGAAGACGGCCCUAUGGGUUGUAAACUGCUUUUAUAAGGGAAUAAAGUGAGUCUCGUGAGACUUUUUGCAUGUACCUUAUGAAUAAGGACCGGCUAAUUCCGUGCCAGCAGCCGCGGUAAUACGGAAGGUCCGGGCGUUAUCCGGAUUUAUUGGGUUUAAAGGGAGCGUAGGCCGGAGAUUAAGCGUGUUGUGAAAUGUAGAUGCUCAACAUCUGAACUGCAGCGCGAACUGGUUUCCUUGAGUACGCACAAAGUGGGCGGAAUACGUGGUGUAGCGGUGAAAUGCUUAGAUAUCACGAAGAACUCCGAUUGCGAAGGCAGCUCACUGAAGCGCAACUGACGCUGAAGCUCGAAAGUGCGGGUAUCGAACAGGAUUAGAUACCCUGGUAGUCCGCACGGUAAACGAUAGAUGCCCGCUGUUGGUCUGAAUAGGUCAGCGGCCAAGCGAAAGCAUAA
This 844-nucleotide ribosomal RNA is filed under the name uncultured bacterium. Its description in RNAcentral is "bacterial SSU rRNA". It matches the Rfam family "Bacterial small subunit ribosomal RNA", at positions 28 to 862 of the family's 1533-position model. The record is from RNAcentral.